This 503-nucleotide ribosomal RNA is filed under the name uncultured bacterium. Its description in RNAcentral is "partial 16S ribosomal RNA". It matches the Rfam family "Bacterial small subunit ribosomal RNA", at positions 30 to 523 of the family's 1533-position model. The record is from RNAcentral.
AUUGAACGCUGGCGGCAGGCUUAACACAUGCAAGUCGAGCGGGGUGAUGGUGCUUGCACUAUCACUUAGCGGCGGACGGGUGAGUAAUGCUUAGGAAUCUGCCUAUUAGUGGGGGACAACAUCUCGAAAGGGAUGCUAAUACCGCAUACGUCCUACGGGAGAAAGCAGGGGAUCACUUGUGACCUUGCGCUAAUAGAUGAGCCUAAGUCGGAUUAGCUAGUUGGUGGGGUAAAGGCCUACCAAGGCGACGAUCUGUAGCGGGUCUGAGAGGAUGAUCCACCACACUGGGACUGAGACACGGCCCAGACUCCUACGGGAGGCAGCAGUGGGGAAUAUUAGACAAUGGGGGGAACCCUGAUCCAGCCAUGCCGCGUGUGUGAAGAAGGCCUUAUGGUUGUAAAGCACUUUAAGCGAGGAGGAGGCUCUUUUGGUUAAUACCCAAGAUGAGUGGACGUUACUCGCAGAAUAAGCACCGGCUAACUCUGUGCCAGCCGCCGCAGUAA